AUUCCCCUAGUAACUGCGAGUGAAGCGGGAAAAGCUCAAAUUUAAAAUCUGGUGGUCUUCUGGCCAUCCGAGUUGUAAUUUAGAGAAGCGUCUUCCGCGCUGGACCGUGCAUAAGUCUCCUGGAAUGGAGCGUCAUAGAGGGUGAGAAUCCCGUCUUUGGCAUGGAUCCCAGGGCUUCUGUGAUGCGCUCUCAAAGAGUCGAGUUGUUUGGGAAUGCAGCUCAAAAUGGGUGGUGAACUCCAUCUAAAGCUAAAUAUUGGCGAGAGACCGAUAGCGAACAAGUACCGUGAGGGAAAGAUGAAAAGCACUUUGGAAAGAGAGUGAAACAGUACGUGAAAUUGUUGAAAGGGAAACGCUUGAAGUCAGUCGCGUCGACCGAGACUCAGCCUCGCCUUGGCUUGGUGUACUUCUCGGCUGACGGGUCAUCAUCAAUUUUGAUCCUUGGAUAAUGGCAAGGGAAAGGUAGCACCUUUACAGGUGUGUUAUAGUCCUCUGUCGGAUGCAAGGGUCGGGAUUGAGGAACUCAGCACGCACCAAUUGUUGGUGUCGGGGCCUUGGCCUACGUUACGUGCUUAGGAUGCUGGCAUAAUGGCUUUAAACGACCCGUCUUGAAACACGGACCAAGGAGUCUAACAUGCCCGCGAGUGUUCGGGUGGAAAACCCGUGCGCGUAAUGAAAGUAAAAGUUGGGACCUCUGUCGUGGAGGGCACCGACGCCCGGACCAGACCUUCUGUGACGGCUCUGCGGUAGAGCGUGUAUGUUGGGACCCGAAAGAUGGUGAACUAUGCCUGAAUAGGGUGAAGCCAGAGGAAACUCUGGUGGAGGCUCGUAGCGAUUCUGACGUGCAAAUCGAUCGUCAAAUUUGGGUAUAGGGGCGAAAGAC
This 883-nucleotide ribosomal RNA is filed under the name Russula pulverulenta. RNAcentral describes it as "eukaryotic LSU rRNA". It matches the Rfam family "Eukaryotic large subunit ribosomal RNA", at positions 74 to 931 of the family's 3401-position model. Lineage: Eukaryota; Fungi; Basidiomycota; Agaricomycetes; Russulales; Russulaceae. The record is from RNAcentral.